CGCACAGUAAACGAUGAAUACCAGCUGUUGGCGAUAGACAGUCAGCGGCGUAAGCGAAAGCGUUAAGUAUUCCACCUGGGGAGUACGCCGGCAACGGUGAAACUCAAAGGAAUUGACGGGGGCCCGCACAAGCGGAGGAACAUGUGGUUUAAUUCGAUGAUACGCGAGGAACCUUACCCGGGCUUGAAUUGCAGAGGAACAUAGUUGAAAGAUUAUGGCCGCAAGGUCUCUGUGAAGGUGC
Molecule: ribosomal RNA, 241 nt
Filed under: uncultured bacterium
Lineage: Bacteria
Description: partial 16S ribosomal RNA
Rfam family: Bacterial small subunit ribosomal RNA
Source: RNAcentral